CAAACAAUUAUCUAUCGAUGUAAAAUAACAACUCCACACACCAGGAGAACGGGCACUGAUAAUCCACUCGACCGAAACACGUGCCGCAAUCGCAAUCGAGUUACCAUUGGAUGGGAGGAUUUGGUGGAGACACGCUCACUCAACUGUUCGGCUCGAGUCAUUAGAGAGUUUGUUUGCUCAAGGGCUCCACGGAAAACCUUUCCCUGCUACUGGACAAGCUGAACAAAUAUGGCACCAGAACUGUUUUUCACAUUUCUACUCGGAGAUUGGUUUAUCACACACUUUGAACGCGUACCAUCCGAAAUCACCUUGCUUGCCUCUCGCUCACUCUAUCCAAUCAUGAAUUCCAUGCCAAGGUAAGAAAUUCACCGCCUGCUUGCGUCUCGCUGCAUAAACGCUCCCCCUCCCCACCAUUUGCCCGGAAUACAUUCGAGGUUCUGUUUUAUGUCUUCAAUCGUGUGAAUGUGGCUGAGUGUGUGUGGCGCGCGCGAAUGAAAUAUCGAUUUUCCAAGGACUAUUUAACCGGAGGACUCUGCUGCCAGGUCGCUGCCAGAACGGGCGAGCCUCCCACCUCCCCUCUUUCUCUGCUGCUAGUUUUGCAUCGCAGAAGGAAAAGGCAUCAAACAGAGAAAGGCUAUUGUAUUCUGGUGCUUAGACGCUUCCUGAUUAUGAUGAACCUGCUGGGCACCUACGAAUAAGUGCUGGAAAGAUUGUUUUUCUUCGCAAACUGAUAAACUCUGCAUGCGCGCUGUCGCUAUUUCUGUGCUGAUGCACCACCACCACCACCACUGCGAAGAAGAAAACCUAACAAAACACAAACUCUUGUCUGGAAAGUCUUGUUUUAGUAGGUCAUUUCGAUGGGAUUGUUUUCGACUGCGUGGCCAUUUACGGUUCGAUUAUAUCACGCAUUAACUUUGUUCAAUAACGAUGGAAGAAACAUAAAAUUGCAGAAAUUACGAUUAGAGGCACACACAC
Anopheles coluzzii is the source of this 975-nucleotide long non-coding RNA. RefSeq lists it as uncharacterized. The transcript is spliced from 3 exons. The record is from RefSeq and is a predicted model, not a curated record. NCBI's taxonomy places the organism in Eukaryota, Metazoa, Arthropoda, Insecta, Diptera, Culicidae.